GGCUACCCAUCCCAUGCGCUGUUCAACCCUUUGUCUUUUGCGUACUGUAUGUUUCCUCGGCGGGUUCGCCCGCCGAUAGGACACUUCAAAACCUUUUGUAAUUGCAAUCAGCGUCAGAAAAACUAUAAUAGUUACAACUUUCAACAACGGAUCUCUUGGUUCUGGCAUCGAUGAAGAACGCAGCGAAAUGCGAAAAGUAGUGUGAAUUGCAGAAUUCAGUGAAUCAUCGAAUCUUUGAACGCACAUUGCGCCCCUUGGUAUUCCAUGGGGCAUGCCUGUUCGAGCGUCAUUUGUACCCUCAAGCUCUGCUUGGUGUUGGGUGUUUGUCCCGCCUCGCGCGUGGACUCGCCUUAAAGUCAUUGGCAGCCGGAAUAAUUCUGGGGAACGCAGCACAACUGCAGCCUCCAUUUUACGCCGAGCGUCCAGUAAGCCUUUUUUCAACGUUUGACCUCGGAUCAGGUAGGGAUACCCGCUGAACUUAAGCAUAUCAAA
RNAcentral lists this ribosomal RNA (492 nucleotides) under Alternaria sp. HL-01. Its description in RNAcentral is "eukaryotic LSU rRNA". The stretch from base 136 to 289 matches the Rfam family "5.8S ribosomal RNA". Lineage: Eukaryota; Fungi; Ascomycota; Dothideomycetes; Pleosporales; Pleosporaceae. The record is from RNAcentral.